UGUACUGGAGCACCAGGAGCCCU
Molecule: non-coding RNA, 23 nt
Filed under: Cricetulus griseus (Chinese hamster)
Lineage: Eukaryota; Metazoa; Chordata; Mammalia; Rodentia; Cricetidae
Source: RNAcentral